GACGAACGCUGGCGGCGUGCUUAACACAUGCAAGUUGAACGGAGCACAUCAAGUAGCAAUACGAGGUGUGCUUAGUAGCGGACGGGUGAGUAACGCGUGAGUAACCUACCUUUGUGAGGGGGACAACAGCUGGAAACGGCUGCUAAUACCGCAUAAGGCCACGACUCCGAGUGGAGACGAGGUAAAAGAUUUAUCGCACAAAGAUGGACUCGCGUCCCAUUAGCUAGUUGGUGAGGUAACGGCCCACCAAGGCGACGAUGGGUAGCCGACCUGAGAGGGUGAUCGGCCACACUGGAACUGAGACACGGUCCAGACUCCUACGGGAGGCAGCAGUGGGGAAUAUUGGGCAAUGGGCGCAAGCCUGACCCAGCGACGCCGCGUGAGGGAAGAAGGUCUUCGGAUUGUAAACCUCUGUCCUAUGGGACGAAAAAAAUGACGGUACCAUAGGAGGAAGCUCCGGCUAACUACGUGCCAGCAGCCGCGGUAAUACGUAGGGAGCGAGCGUUGUCCGGAAUUACUGGGCGUAAAGGGUGCGUAGGUGGCCUAGCAAGUCAGAUGUGAAAUCCCCGGGCUUAACUCGGGGGGUGCAUUUGAAACUGCUUGGCUUGAGUGCAGGAGAGGAAAGCGGAAUUCCUAGUGUAGCGGUGAAAUGCGUAGAUAUUAGGAGGAACACCAGUGGCGAAGGCGGCUUUCUGGACUGUAACUGACACUGAGGCACGAAAGCGUGGGGAGCAAACAGGAUUAGAUACCCUGAUAGUCCACGCGGUAAACGAUGGAUACUAGGUGUGGGGGAGAUACAACCUCCGUGCCG
Molecule: ribosomal RNA, 811 nt
Filed under: uncultured Clostridia bacterium
Lineage: Bacteria; Bacillati; Bacillota; Clostridia
Description: bacterial SSU rRNA
Rfam family: Bacterial small subunit ribosomal RNA
Source: RNAcentral